GUAUGGGGGACCUUUGGUA
Molecule: non-coding RNA, 19 nt
Filed under: Mus musculus (house mouse)
Lineage: Eukaryota; Metazoa; Chordata; Mammalia; Rodentia; Muridae
Source: RNAcentral